GUAUCAUUCGGGUUCGGAAUUGCUUACUAGGCCAUCCUGUUGGCCGUUGAUGAGGUAGAAGAUAUCUUGAUUGGCUUGGUGUCCUGUUGCGUAAGGUGAGGACUGUACAGCUCGACGCACCUUGAAACCUGUUGUUCAUCCGGUGGCUGUUGAGUUCUGGAUUGGAGAUAUGAACCCUAGGAAACAGUGGACAAUGACUUAUGACUUGUGCCAAGAGCUUCUGGGGGACAAUCUGCUCACCUGCAUUUCAAUCCCUUUGUAGUCCCCCUUGAUCACAAAUCAUCCUCAUUCGAUGACUACAAUGCAACUUAGCUGGACGUUGCAAUCCCGUGCCCUCAAAUUUAUCGCGUGCUCCUUAACUGUGGUAGGAUAAUACUAUCAUGAUAUCACCUCAGUGAAAGAUAAGUUCAAACCAAGUUCUCUGCAUAUUUUUGCCAGUGC
RNAcentral lists this small RNA (441 nucleotides) under Oryza sativa Japonica Group (Japanese rice). Its description in RNAcentral is "sRNA Os07g0177150". The record is from RNAcentral. Lineage: Eukaryota; Viridiplantae; Streptophyta; Magnoliopsida; Poales; Poaceae.